RNAcentral lists this ribosomal RNA (429 nucleotides) under Verrucomicrobiota bacterium. Its description in RNAcentral is "Verrucomicrobia bacterium partial 16S ribosomal RNA". It matches the Rfam family "Bacterial small subunit ribosomal RNA", at positions 355 to 776 of the family's 1533-position model. The record is from RNAcentral. Lineage: Bacteria; Pseudomonadati; Verrucomicrobiota.
UAGGGAAUCUUCCGCAAUGGACGAAAGUCUGACGGAGCAACGCCUCGUGAGUGAAGAAGGAUUUCGGUUCGUAAAACUCUGUUGUUAGGGAAGAAAAAAUGUAUAGUAACUAUAUACAAAAGAGACGGUACCUAACCAGAAAGCCACGGCUAACUACGUGCCAGCAGCCGCGGUAAUACGUAGGUGGCAAGCGUUGUCCGGAAUUAUUGGGCGUAAAGCGCGCGCAGGUGGUUUAGAAAGUCUGAUGUGAAAGCCCACGGCUCAACCGUGGAGGGUCAUUGGAAACUAAUAAACUUGAGUGCAGGAGAGAAAAGUGGAAUUCCUAGUGUAGCGGUGAAAUGCGUAGAGAUUAGGAGGAACACCGGUGGCGAAAGCGGCUUUUUGGCCUGCAACUGACACUGAGGCGCGAAAGCGUGGGGAGCAAACAGG